CCGCGGGACUGGUCUCCCGGCUCCAGCCGCCGUGGCAGUGCCGGCUCCCUCCAGGUGUGCCUGGAGCACGUAAGCGCCGGAAGGGAUGCUGCAGACAGUAGGGCUUGCCGCUCCGCGAGGCGCAGAUGUGCCUGGCUCUUACCCCGUUUCCUCCGUGACUCUAGGUUGAGCCCGGGCUCUGGUGGUUUCCUUCUAUUACAGUAGCAAAAUGGUACAACAGCUUGUAGUCCGUGAUUUCUGUCGGAGAGUGUAUGUCACCUGUUGCUGCAUAACAAGCACCUCAUAGCAUCACAGCUUAAAACAAACAUUGAUUGUGGGGCCAGCCCCGUGGCCAAGUGGUUAAGUUCGCGCACUCCGCUUUGGUGGCCCAGGGUUCGGAUCCUGGGCACGGACGUGGCACCACUCACUAGGCCCUGUUGAGGCGGCGUCCCACAUGCCACAACUAGAAGGACCCACAACUAAAAUAUACAACUAUGUACUGGGGGGAUUUGGGGAGAAAAAAGCAGAGAGUAAAAAAAAGAUCGGCAACAGUUGUUAACUCAGGUGCCAAUCUUUAAAAGAAAAAACAUUGAUUGUUCCACAGGUUCUACAGGUCAGGAAUUUGGGCAUGACUUGACUGAGUGGUUCUGUCUUGGUCUCUCACGAGACAAUAGUCAAGACCUAGGCCAAGGCUGCCGUUAUCUGAAGUCUUGACUCAGGCUGGAGCAUCUGCUUCCUAGAUGGCACGCUCACGUGACUGUUGGCUGAAGGCCUCAGUUUUUCACUGCAUGACCUCCCCGUAGGAUCCCUCGAGUGUCCCCAUAAUAUGGCAUCUGGCUUCCCUCAGAGCGAGUAAUCUCAGAGAGACCAAGGCAGAAGCCACAAUGUCUUCUAUAAUCUAGCCUCAGAAGUCACAUACCAUCACUUCUGUCAUAUUCUAUUGAUCAAAAAUCAACCCAAGUGCACCAAUACCAAUAGACAGAGAUCAUUGGAGGCCAUCUGGGAGGCUGGCUACCAUGGAGGGUCUGACAAUAAUGAUGGUGAUGACUUAGAUGCGGAAGAGAGCAUCAUCAAGUUUCAUCCUUGGAUGCUAGCCAUUGUCCAAAUCGUUAUAAAAAGAGUGUAACCACUGGGAUGGCAGAAGUAGUCCAACCACAGGAGUGCAGGAGGGUCCUGGAAGAGAACCAGAGCAUUCUCAAGGACUGCCAAGAAUUAAAGAUGUCACCUUAAUGUCAGCAAGAAACAGGCACUGCAACUUUUCAACAGUUUGGCAAUUUAAAUUGCUUUUCUCUUAAUGGGCCAUUUCAUAGCAUACAACAAAGGGAUGGUGUCACUCUACUGUGGGACUCCAUUCAUUGGCUCUCUUGGGGCUUUUCUUAAUAAGCUUUUCGUUUUAGAACAGUUUUAGAUUUACGGAAUUAUUAUGAAGAGAGAUCCAUAUACUGCAUUUCUGUUUUCCCUAUUAGUAACAGAUUAGUAAGGUAUAUUUCUCACACUUAAUGAACCAAUAUUGAUACAUUUUUAUUAAGUAAAGCCCGUACUUUAUUCAGAUUGCCUCAGUUUUUUCCUAAUGUUCUUUUUCUUUUCCAG
This 1569-nucleotide long non-coding RNA is filed under the name Equus asinus (donkey). RNAcentral describes it as "lncRNA (ENSEASG00005031895.1)". The record is from RNAcentral. Lineage: Eukaryota; Metazoa; Chordata; Mammalia; Perissodactyla; Equidae.